Long non-coding RNA from Perognathus longimembris pacificus (Pacific pocket mouse), 462 nucleotides. RefSeq lists it as uncharacterized. The transcript has 3 exons. Lineage: Eukaryota; Metazoa; Chordata; Mammalia; Rodentia; Heteromyidae. The record is from RefSeq and is a predicted model, not a curated record.
CUUAAAAAGAAAAAAACAAAAACCCCACUCUGACAUCACUUCAGCAGCUUCUCACCAAGUCCUCCCCUUUGCCUACCCCUAGGUCCCUGCUAGCCCUGGUUCUUCCCUCUGCUUCCUGAAUAACUCACAAGAAGAGUUCUAAUCCUUCUGGUACCUUCAGGGUAAGCAUGAUCCCCCAGUGGGGCUUAUGGGCUCCAAAUGUUUUCCAAUAACAUGUCAUUUCUAGGAACCGUCCCUCCCUCAGCCCUGCUCGGCUGCGGCCUCCACCCUCAAGCUUAACCAUUCAUGGACCUGUCUGUCCUCUGUGACCCAGGCUCUCUGGGGCUGGCCAUCCUCAUCACUGGCAGAAACACACUGGGCAUGGAAUAAAGGAACCAAAGCAACCUUGGCCCAGAUCCUGGUCCCAGGAGCUGUGGUGGGCUAUGUUGGGCCUGGCCAGCCCAGCUCUGUGACGUCACAUUG